AACAUCGCGCACCUGCGGGAACCUGCGGAAGGAUCAUUACAGAGUUGCAAAACUCCCUAAACCAUUGUGAACGUUACCUAAACCGUUGCUUCGGCGGGCGGCCCGGGUCCUUCCCGGCGCCCAUCGGCCCUCGCGGGCGCCCGCCGGAGGUAAACCAAACUAUUGCAUCGUAUGGCCUCUCUGAGUCUUCUGUACUGAAUAAGUCAAAACUUUCAGCAACGGAUCUCAGAUCGGAAGAGC
This 240-nucleotide unclassified non-coding RNA is filed under the name soil metagenome. RNAcentral describes it as "partial contains 5.8S ribosomal RNA, internal transcribed spacer 2, and large subunit ribosomal RNA". The record is from RNAcentral.